Small RNA from Pseudomonas sp. HPB0071, 116 nucleotides. It matches the Rfam family "Pseudomon-1/ErsA RNA". From Rfam's summary of the family: Functions to regulate the AlgC enzyme. Lineage: Bacteria; Pseudomonadati; Pseudomonadota; Gammaproteobacteria; Pseudomonadales; Pseudomonadaceae. The record is from Rfam.
AUGCUCCUUUGCUGUUUAGUGUUGGCAGAUUAACGGACCCCGCCCUAGCGGUCCGAACUUAAACCCCGAUCUUUUCCCCUCCCCAAUGAAGAUCGGGGUUUUUUUUGCGUCUGGAA